AGCCCAGAUCCUCCUUAAGGAGCAGGUUUGAGUUUGGCUAUAAAUAGUGCUCUUCAGCUACUGUUAACUAGCAUCUCUCUUCUUCUCACAGAAACAAAUUUAGUGUAGAAUGGAAACAACGCAUGCAGAAAACUGCUGGAGCAUCAGAAACCACAGACCAGCAAAACCCAACAGGACCGAGAGAGAAACGGAGCACAGAAAUGAGACACAAGCCAGUGAACCACAAGAGAAAAGACUUGUUAGAUGUGACAGUAUGCGGAAAAUAAAGCCAGACCUCUCUUGUGAAGACCUGAACAUUAUCCUUCAUCAUCACAUCAGCUCCUGGACUCCUUCACAGACUCGUCUGAGCACAAACACACAGACUAACGAAUGGCUUCUCUCUCAGAUCUGUCUCAAUGCUGCACUUUACUGACAACACUCUGCAUGAACAUUCGAUCCUCUGCUUCUGCCGUGUUUUACUCCGUAUUCUGCACUGC
This is a long non-coding RNA of Sinocyclocheilus rhinocerous, 476 nucleotides long. RefSeq lists it as uncharacterized. The transcript is spliced from 3 exons. NCBI's taxonomy places the organism in Eukaryota, Metazoa, Chordata, Actinopteri, Cypriniformes, Cyprinidae. The record is from RefSeq and is a predicted model, not a curated record.